Molecule: ribosomal RNA, 494 nt
Filed under: uncultured bacterium
Lineage: Bacteria
Description: partial 16S ribosomal RNA
Rfam family: Bacterial small subunit ribosomal RNA
Source: RNAcentral
GAUGAACGCUGGCGGCGUGCCUAAUACAUGCAAGUCGAGCGAACGGACGAGAAGCUUGCUUCUCUGAUGUUAGCGGCGGACGGGUGAGUAACACGUGGAUAACCUACCUAUAAGACUGGGAUAACUUCGGGAAACCGUAGCUAAUACCGGAUAAUAUUUUGAACCGCAUGGUUCAAAAGUGAAAGACGGUCUUGCUGUCACUUAUAGAUGGAUCCGCGCUGCAUUAGCUAGUUGGUAAGGUAACGGCUUACCAAGGCAACGAUGCAUAGCCGACCUGAGAGGGUGAUCGGCCACACUGGAACUGAGACACGGUCCAGACUCCUACGGGAGGCAGCAGUAGGGAAUCUUCCGCAAUGGGCGAAAGCCUGACGGAGCAACGCCGCGUGAGUGAUGAAGGUCUUCGGAUCGUAAAACUCUGUUAUUAGGGAAGAACAUGUGUGUAAGUAACUGUGCACAUCUUGACGGUACCUAAUCAGAAAGCCACGGCUAACUAC